UCCUGGGUCUUACUUUAUAUUCGGUCCAGCAAGAGCUGAAUCAGAAACUGAAGAACUGUAAAGGAUCAGAGAUACUGACCUACAUUCAAGCUAAUGAUACCAAGAUUUCCUCUAGCUUUUGAAGAAAAACGAAAAGAACAAGAAGAAAAAGAACAACAAAUCAGAGAACAAAUACUUCAACAAAGAAAAGAGAAGUUUGAAGAAGUCACUGAAAAAUUCCAGCGUGCUCAUAUUCCUCUUUCACAACGGAGGAGAGCAGUUUUUCAAAAACGAGUUCCUCUGUUGGAAGAAGCCCUCAAGCAAAUUCAAGAAUCCAAUUUAAAAUCAGAAGUAAACCUCCUCCCUUCCUACAGACCAACAAUAAAUUGGAGAGCUAUAAAUAAUGCCUUGCCUUCAUCAUUGUCAAAAAAUGAUCACAAGCAUCAGAAACAUCUCUUAUCCAAAAUCAAUUGUGGUAAAGAAUUGAAGGAAAACAACAGGGCAAACUUGGCUACUAACAAAGAUGCGUUCCAGCUUAAACUGGAAGAAACUCAGAAACUCCUAGAAGAUCAGCAUCUAAGCAGUUUGCAAAUAUUUUGUGAUGAAGUUAAUCAACUAACAAAUUCUGAAACCCUCUCAAGUAUAGACAGCCUUGAGGCUGGGGAACAUGAAGAAAUAUACUUAACACUUGAGGAGCUCUGCACAUCCAGCCAGAAGAGCUCCAUUUCUCCCAAAUCAGUCAAUCUGCAGGCAGCUAAUCUGAGCGGCGGUGGUGAAGACGAACUGUCAUUCUCUAAGACUCAGCGUAUAAACAACUGGCUCGUAAACGUAAAUGACCCAAAGACUGAGACUGUCCCAUCUGUCUCAGAUACUUUAAGCAAAGCGAAUGUGCUGCCUUCUUGUGAAUGUCUGAACGGCGAGGACCAAAGUGCGCCUGCGGAGAGGGUGACAGAGCGUGCUGACCAUUCAGUAGCCUCGGUGUACAGCCGCCCCGCAUCCCGAAGGGAUGGAAAAUGCACAAAGGUCUCCGAAACGAGCGCUGGGAGAGCGGCCGACUCCUGCUCCGGCACAUUCAAAAGGGAGAGACCCUUCGUUACUGAGAGCCCAACGUUUAAAUUCAGCAGAGUGGGGACCGCUGCGGACCGUCUCACACGGGAGCCGGCGACGUUUGCAGACCGCGGUGGCGCUUGUGCAUUAGCAGCAGAGAGCGCGGCCGCUUCGUGUGUGCCGGUGGCGACCCGCACAGCUCUGCCCUGCGGCGGGCUUGCGGCGAGGCCCUCGCCGGAGAGCAGCCGGCGAAGACCGCUGGGCCCGGCGCAGUGUUCGGACAAGUUGGGAGGCUUGCCGGAGGUCAGAGAGGACACGUUACAGGACGUUCCCCGUGAUAAGGCGGACCCGCCCUUGUUUUCAGCCGGCGUCCCGGUUGCCUGGGUCCCUCCCCGCUCUGCCUCGGACAGUGGGACACACGCAAGAGCCCAAACAUCAGCCUGGGGGUGUUCGGUCGGGCCGCACAGGACGGGGAAGCACAGCGCGCACGAGAGGGGCGGCGGGGUCUUCCUCAAGAGCAUCUUGAAAAAAGAAUCUAAGUGCGAGCGCGGCCGUUUUAAGGCGCUGGUGGUCAGCCACAGCGGCAGGUGCGGCGGUCCGAGGGCGGCUCUCCGAGACAGCGCUGAAUUAGCGCAAGAGAAAGCUACGGAAACCGCAAAGACGGUUAAAAAACUGAGGUGGUUUGACGAACCUAGAGACCCCGCCGGCCAGGCGCUGAAGAGCAGGACGGAGCCGUGUCCACAGCGGGGUCCGUCUUUCCGCCCUCAGCCGCGCAGGGGAGCUGCGGGCCGGGGGGCAGCGCGGCCACAGGAGGACGGCGUCUCGGAGACGGCCGCUGCCCCCGGAGCACCUGCAGCAGCCCCAGUGCCUCUCACCUGUUUCGUGCCUUCUGGCUGCGACGCGGCCGAACAAGCCUGGCCGACCUCAGGGACGGGGGAACGGCCACUCCCGCGGCCCCGGGGGGGCUCCAAAGCUGAGACGGCGAGGCCGCGCGGUGCCGGGGCCCGCAGGAGAACGAGAUCGGCCCCCGCGCAGGGCGCGCUGUCGUGGGCGCUUGGAAGGGACGCCGCGCCCCGGCCGCGCUCGGCGGGCAGAGCCCACGGCCCCUGGGCAGCUCAGGGUGCACCGCCUGUGCCUCCGCCCCCGCCCCGCAGCACGAGCUGCAGAAGCCCAUGGGCGUUUGGCUGCCCCGCAACGCCGCAUGGAGACCCGCAGCCGGUGACGGCGCCAGGCUGCCUCCGCGCCAGCCCCGUGCUUCCCCCGGAGCGCGGCGGGCUCAGCGCGUGGGGUCGGGAAGGUGGCGGGCCGCUGGCACACAUGCCUUCGGGGCCCGGGCCUGCGAUGCCUUCACCGCGUGGUUCGCGGCGCCGGACGCGCGCCGAAGCAGCCGGCUCGGGCGGCUCCGGGGCCCGUCCUGCCCGCGGAGACGCCCGCCGCCCGCCGCCCCUCAGGGCCGUCCGGGAGGAGUCCGUUUCCCGACGGAAGGCGCCGAGUGACGCGCGCGGCCGCAGGGAAGCGGAUGCUGGCUCUCCUGUUGUAAGAAGAAAGCAAAUUGUUGAAGAUAAGCAGAGAAGCCUUUUAGAACAGAAAAGAGAAAACCCUGCAUCUGCAGGAAAGAAGUGUGGCGAGUGCACAAGUAAUUUGGAGCAAAGUGCCCAGCCAAGUUCAAGUGAGCCAAAACAUACUACAAGGUGUACUUCUGAUGUUGAAGAAGUUUCAGAUAGUACUUCUCAGUUUUUGAUGGCUGAAAACCUAGUGAAAGCUUCAGUGCCUGAGGAUGAAAUUCUCGCUGUCAUGAACAGCAGGCAGCUACAGAAACCACAUCUGGCUGUAAAUAAGACCCAGCCACUCAACGUCUGUGCACUCCCGGCCGCAGAACAGAAGCUCCUCCAGUCCCUUAGUCACCUCAAUGAGAGGUUCCACUAUGUACAAGAAGCCAUUUGCAAGAAUCCAUCCAUCAGAAAUACCUUACAAAUAAUACCACUUCUGAACAGCCGGCCGAGAGGCAGCCUGUCCCCGGGGGUCGGAUCCAGGCUGCAGAGGAAGUACUGACGGACCGCAGCGGCGAGCAUGACUGUUCUCGCGGCCAUUGACAAUGGCCUGUAAAUAGAGCAUAGAUUUUCGCAUUUGUUAAGGAUUUAAAUACUACAACCAUAAGAUAAAGGUAAAUCAUCACAUGAGUAAUGGAGAUAAAUUGACUAGUUUACAUUUAUGCUACAAGGUUAUUAUGUAUUUUAUUGAUAAUACGUUUUUAGUGAAGGGAAAUGCUUCAUUGUUUUUAGUGAGCCUGCUACUGAAAACACAUUCAUUAUAUUUGAAAAUAAAACAGGGUAUUUUGUUAUUCAAAUUAUGUAUUAGCUAUAGUUGUGAAGCUUUGUUUUUCUGAAAUUCCUAAUAAAUUCUAUUAAAUUUUGGUACAGUGGUGUAAAAAGUUCAUGAUUAAUAAUACCCCAUAUAAACAGUAAAGCCAUCUAAGACUUGGAAGGAUCUCUGUACUUGGGGGUAUUACCAAAGGGUGUUACUUACGAAAACCAAAAGAAACUCCUUGUAUAAUCAUGAAACUCCUUCUAUGAUUUUAGAAGUUUUUUUGUGGAAUUAUGAUAAUCUCAUAUAUCUUUUUACUUCCCCUCACCCAUUUCUACUUCAGGCUCUCAUCUAGACAGUCCGCGAAAGCUGACAGAUGGCAUUUCUAAGUGUGGUAGACUGGCAGAGUAAAAUCUGUCGUAUCAAUCCCAUCUUAGGGGCGCCCAGGGGGCUCAGUCGGCUGAAUGGCUGACUCUUGGUCUCAGCUCAAGUCUUGAUCUCAGGGUCAUGAGUUCAUGCCCCGCAUUGGGCUCCUGUUUUAAAAGUUUUCAGCUCUCCCUUUGGCUGCUAGAGGGACCGUGCGUAUAAGGCUCUCUGUAUCCUGAGUCCUCCCUGUUUGCACUAAUGCCCAGACCCCUUGCAGGCCCCCAGCCUGCUGUCCCAUGCCUCUCUGCCCAACUGCACACUGUCCCCGUAGCUCGGAAUGCCUUCGUCAGCCUCCACUGCCUGAACCACGUUUACUCGUUCUUUUAAAUUCUACUCAGGUCAAACGUCCUCUAAUGUUUCCUAAUAAUUCUCUGCCACCUUUGUAUAAAUUAUGUCCUUUGCAUUCUGAACCACAAUUAUUUCUGUGUAUGUAUCCCUCUUCUAGAUAAAGUGCUCCUAGCAGCUAACGGUUGUCACUGGUGUCUGUCCCAUGAGGAAGUAAAGUGGGGGACACAGCGGCAGACCAAAAUAACGAAGGAAAGGAAAAUAUUCAACUGUGCGAUUUAUCAAGACCCAACUAUGUGCUAGGUGCUGCUCCGUGUAUUAGGGAGACAGUAAAAACAAAAGUAAUUAUUUUCUUCUAUCAUGGACUUACAUUUUAGUCGGGAAUACAGAUUUCCAACAUAAGCAGCCGCCACCGGAAGGUUAGAAGGCACGGUGAACGGAAAGCUGAGCGUGGGCGGGGCGGAGUACCAGGGUAGACGUGAGCCCGCUGGGGUGGACAGAGACGGUGUCUGACGACUGAAGGGAGGGGAGCCAGCCCUGGCAGCCGCAGGGGAACAGAGCGGCCAGAGGGCAGGAAAGUAGGCUGUUCUCUUAGUGAGGACUGGGGAGCUGGCGGGGGUGUUGGGAGGAAAAGAAAGCGAACAGAGGAUUGGAACAGGGCUUCCUGUCACCCGUGGCUGGUGGCAAAAUGCAUUUCCUACUCUGAGAGGUCCAGGGUGGGACCGAGACCAUACCAGGGCUGCUGCUCCCUGGACCCAUGUGGAACCACAAAGGUCUGGAACAUAACCUUGGCCGCAUAUUGAAAUCACAUGAGGAACUUUAAAAAAAUCUUGACGUCUGGGUUACCCCGGGGGGCGAUUUGAGCAUUGAGAUUUUUUAAAGCUCCCCAGACAAAUUAUAAUGAGAAGCCAAGGGUAAGAAACAUGGUCUAGAAGCAAUAAUGCAAACAAGUAAUGGGGUCGGGGAUCGAAUCCAGUCUGGGCGCCCUCUCCGGCCGGCAGACUUGGGGACGACCCAAGGGCAGCGACCAUGCUGCGGACAGUGUCUUUCUGGACCCGCCUCGCCCCCCAUCCACUGCAGAGGUGGCCAUACAUGUGACUGACCGGUACUGGUGGCCAGGAGAGCAGGAAGAGCUCCGUGGGGCUCCGCCAGGAGCGAUUCUGGCUUCCCUCCUCACCAGCAACAGAUGCAGGCUCUUCCCAUUCCCUGCUUCCUGGUUUUGGAGUUCAGGACUGAUCCCGCGGGGGUGUUGCUGCACUCUCAGAGUCUGCCCUGAGUACCGAAAAGCCCACAGAGGAGGGGACAGACUGACACAGGGCACCCAGCUUCUUCGCUCCACAGCAUCUUCUAGCCACAGCCCACUGACCUCAGCAGCUCCCCCCACUGCCCGGCCACCGCAGGCAUCGGCUGAUACCCAUGGGAACUUCGUUACCCAAGCCCCCUCCUCCUCACUGAUGCAGGCUCUGCAGUCUGCACCUCUGUUGUCCCCUCGCAGACCCUCCUUCUCCAGCUCCUCCCAUAGGGAUAAGAUGUCAUUCUUGUAUCCCCUAGUCCCACGAUUCUUAACAGCGGCUGUGUUGUCCUGACUGAUACAGUCUGAUGGAGGAGACACACGUGGGAGAUGAAUGCGAUUCUGAAUUUCGGAAAAAAAGCUUCUGAGUUAGCAAAAUGGAUAUCGCUCUAGAGAAUGAAAAGGAGAGAAGAGCCUCCCAGGUCUAGAUGAGACAGAACCAGGAGACAGGGAGGAAGCAGGGUGCGAAACACCGUCCUGGACUGGACGCACCUGUUUGCCAGCACCGUUCCCAGGAAAGCAAGCGAGCCACCGGACUGCUCCUGAAGUGGUGUCCCAACCUGGGUUUGGAGAGCAGUGAGGUCCGGGCAGGGCUCCGGGGAGAGCCAGCUCUGCGCUCAGGUGCAGGAGACCUGGCGCUGCUCCCUGGGGUAGAGCACACCCUCGUCCCUCCCGGAGCCCCAGUGCCGGGAGCAGCUGCAGUGAUAGAAGUAGACGUGAACUAGAAUUGUCUGUUGAUGAAACCUCUUGCAGUAACUUGUGAGGGCAUUUUAUAAAAAAAUGGUAUUUGGGGUUUUUUUAAUUAUCCAUUUUGGUAUAAUAUAUAGUCCCAAAGUUACCACAGCCCCCCAAAGGGCCCUUGGUGGCAGCAUCAGAGCCAAGGUUAGCUCUCUGUGUGGCAGAGGGAGGCCCUCCUGUGACCCUGGGAUCACACUGUCUUCCAAAUCGAACGGUUGGCACUUUGGGACUACAAAAAAAAAUUUUUUUUUUACAUUAGAAGGUAAUGAAUCAAAGUUAGAAAUUGCAAGAUUUAAGGGAGACAAUUCUUGUGGCCUUUUAAUGACCCUGCUCACUUCUGGUUUGCAGAGCCUGGCCUGGGAGGUGAGGGACCACACCCUGCCACAUAGGGCACGUGCUGUUACUUCAGCCCAACCGACAGCCCAAGAGCCACGUGUUCGUCACGGUUGACAGAGGAGCGCAGAGGCUCAGAGAUGAGCCCGCCCCCCGCCAGCCCGCCCCCCAGGGUCAUGUAGCCGGUCAGUUGCGGCAUCGUGGUGCACACCCAGGUAAAGCUACUGUGAAUGUGCGGUGCAGGUUUGUCCGAGGUGGUCGUUCUGUCUACUUCAGAUGAGUUCCCGGACGUGGAAUUGGCAGAUCCUCAUGAAAGAGAAGAAAAAAAUAAUUACAGAAAAGUGAAAGCUGUAUUUAUUGGAAAUCAACUCAAAGCUACGUGACUGAUGUGUGCAUUCAUGCAACAGAUCGUCCUGAACACCUCUUAAGUCAUCACUGUGCCUGGGGCUUCAGACCAGCAGAGACCCCGUCCAGUCCAGCUGUCGGUACAUGUAGAGCCUUUGAGCUCUUAAGGGCUCAUCCACAAGCAGUUGCAGCAGAGUAUGGUCAGCGGUACAGCAGGAGUAACCCAGAUGGCAUUUCCCUAAUAGAAUCUUUGCUCACGGAACCCUGACUUGUCUGGCUCUAAGAGGACCCAGUGCCAAGGCAGGAUGAAAUCCCCAGGGUGCUGAUAAGGACUGCAGCUGAGCACCAGGCCUCGGAAGCGCUGGUCAGGACCAGUGUGGAAGGGACGGCUGUGAGAAGAUGAAAGGGAGAGGAAACCACUGCGCUCGAGCGCUCUUCCCUUGUACUCUGGCUGAGUAAGAGCUAGCAAGAAUGAAAGAUGGAUGACUUUUUAAUAACCAAGAUAAGUUGGGCAAGACAAAAACAUAUUCAUAGUAUACUACAUGACAACAGCAAAAAUAUUUACCUAGUCAUAAGACUGCAAUUAUUAAAUAUUAACAUAAAAAUUAUACUAUAUUGGUGAGUAUUUUGUAGGCUGAAAGGAGGGGAAAUGCAGGAGAAGCGUGGGGAGUGGGAUGAGAAAUGUCAAGGAGGAGUUUAACAUACACACGACAGAACAGUCAAGAAAAGAAAGGAGGACAGUAGAGGCACUUUGGAAAUACAGGAUUAAAUACAGAAGCUGAAGGAAUUAAAAGUGUGUCUACUGAGAGGGAGUGGAGAUUGGUGCCACUGACUAUCUCAUGAUAAUACUUGUAAAUUUUUACCUGUAACUUUGGUACAGUUUAAAUGAAAAAUAAUUCUUAAACAUGAGAUUGCAAAAUAUGACAAACAUAUGUGGCAAUCAUAAUUUGACAAAUCAACCAAAAGCAAACACUACCAUGUAAAUAAAGAGGUGAUUCAUAAGAGAACUAAAAAUGUGAAUAAGAAUAUAAAGACAUUUCAUUUCAGAAUUAGUUAAAUGAAAGUUAAAAUAGAAAAAGCAACGAAAGUGCUUCUAGAUCUAUCUCCCGGAGAAUCCAAACAUGUCCACACAAAAACCCGUACCCAAACGUUAUCAGCGCUUUCCGUAAUAGCAUUCUCCGGCAACUGAAGAAUGGAUGAAUAAAAGGUGGUACAUGCACAUAACGGAAUAUUAUUCAGCAACAGAGAAGAAUGAUGUUCUGACAUGUGACAGAGUAGAAGAACCUCGAACACCCACCUCGUGCCGAGGGAAAGAAGCCAGUCAUGCAAUGCCCCGUAUUGUAUGAUUCCACUUGUAUGAAAUGUCCACAGGAGCAGAGGAGAGCUUAGUGCCAGCUAGAAUGAGUUGCCAGAGGCUGGUGGAGGGAAAAAUACGGAGUUGCUGCUAGUGGGUGUGGAGUUAUUUUACGCAGUUCUGAAAAUAUUCUAAAAUUAGAUAGUGGGGAUGACUGCACAAUUCUUUUUUUUUAAAGAUUUUAUUAGAGA
RNA transcript from Mustela erminea (ermine), 8293 nucleotides. It is a transcript of the gene named centrosomal protein 126, with no coding region annotated. NCBI's taxonomy places the organism in Eukaryota, Metazoa, Chordata, Mammalia, Carnivora, Mustelidae. The record is from RefSeq and is a predicted model, not a curated record. The transcript is spliced from 14 exons.